Molecule: non-coding RNA, 65 nt
Organism: Dipodomys ordii (Ord's kangaroo rat)
Lineage: Eukaryota; Metazoa; Chordata; Mammalia; Rodentia; Heteromyidae
Source: Rfam
GGUGGCUCAGUGGUAGAGCGCUUGCCUUGCAUGCCAGAAGCCCUGGGUUCAAUUCCUCAGCACCA